RNAcentral lists this unclassified non-coding RNA (256 nucleotides) under uncultured Hypocreales. RNAcentral describes it as "sequence contains 5.8S rRNA gene, ITS2, 28S rRNA gene". Lineage: Eukaryota; Fungi; Ascomycota; Sordariomycetes; Hypocreales. RNAcentral also lists the same sequence under 1 other name. The record is from RNAcentral.
AACGCACAUUGCGCCCGCCAGCAUUCUGGCGGGCAUGCCUGUUCGAGCGUCAUUUCAACCCUCGAGCCCCCCCCGGGGGCCUCGGUGUUGGGGGACGGCACACCAGCCGCCCCCGAAAUGCAGUGGCGACCCCGCCGCAGCCUCCCCUGCGUAGUAGCACACACCUCGCACCGGAGCGCGGAGGCGGUCACGCCGUAAAACGCCCAACUUUCUUAGAGUUGACCUCGGAUCAGGUAGGAAUACCCGCUGAACUUAA